UACGUAGGCAGCGAGCGUUGUUCGGAGUUACUGGGCGUAAAGCGUGCGUAGGCGGUCUUGUAAGUUUGGUGUGAAAUCUCCCGGCUCAACUGGGAGGGUGCGCCGAAAACUGCAAGGCUGGAGUAUGGGAGAGGUAGGCGGAAUUCCUGGUGUAGCGGUGGAAUGCGUAGAGAUCGGCAGGAACACCCAGGGGGAAACCAGUCGACUGGGCAUCUACUGACGCUGAGGUGCGAGAGCGUGGGGAGCGAACCGG
This 253-nucleotide ribosomal RNA is filed under the name uncultured bacterium. Its description in RNAcentral is "partial 16S ribosomal RNA". It matches the Rfam family "Bacterial small subunit ribosomal RNA", at positions 524 to 776 of the family's 1533-position model. The record is from RNAcentral.